This 1453-nucleotide ribosomal RNA is filed under the name metagenome. RNAcentral's name for it is "bacterial SSU rRNA". It matches the Rfam family "Bacterial small subunit ribosomal RNA". The record is from RNAcentral.
AGAGUUUGAUCAUGGCUCAGAUUGAGCGCUGGCGGCAGGCCUAACACAUGCAAGUCGAACGGUAACAGGAAGAAGCUUGCUUCUUUGCUGACGAGUGGCGGACGGGUGAGUAAUGUCUGGGAAACUGCCUGAUGGAGGGGGAUAACUACUGGAAACGGUAGCUAAUACCGCAUAACGUCGCAAGACCAAAGAGGGGGACCUUCGGGCCUCUUGCCAUCGGAUGUGCCCAGAUGGGAUUAGCUAGUAGGUGGGGUAACGGCUCACCUAGGCGACGAUCCCUAGCUGGUCUGAGAGGAUGACCAGCCACACUGGAACUGAGACACGGUCCAGACUCCUACGGGAGGCAGCAGUGGGGAAUAUUGCACAAUGGGCGCAAGCCUGAUGCAGCCAUGCCGCGUGUAUGAAGAAGGCCUUCGGGUUGUAAAGUACUUUCAGCGGGGAGGAAGGGAGUAAAGUUAAUACCUUUGCUCAUUGACGUUACCCGCAGAAGAAGCACCGGCUAACUCCGUGCCAGCAGCCGCGGUAAUACGGAGGGUGCAAGCGUUAAUCGGAAUUACUGGGCGUAAAGCGCACGCAGGCGGUUUGUUAAGUCAGAUGUGAAAUCCCCGGGCUCAACCUGGGAACUGCAUCUGAUACUGGCAAGCUUGAGUCUCGUAGGGGGGGGUAGAAUUCCAGGUGUAGCGGUGAAAUGCGUAGAGAUCUGGAGGAAUACCGGUGGCGAAGGCGGCCCCCUGGACGAAGACUGACGCUCAGGUGCGAAAGCGUGGGGAGCAAACAGGAUUAGAUACCCUGGUAGUCCACGCCGUAAACGAUGUCGACUUGGAGGUUGUGCCCUUGAGGCGUGGCUUCCGGAGCUAACGCGUUAAGUCGACCGCCUGGGGAGUACGGCCGCAAGGUUAAAACUCAAAUGAAUUGACGGGGGCCCGCACAAGCGGUGGAGCAUGUGGUUUAAUUCGAUGCAACGCGAAGAACCUUACCUGGUCUUGACAUCCACGGAAGUUUUCAGAGAUGAGAAUGUGCCUUCGGGAACCGUGAGACAGGUGCUGCAUGGCUGUCGUCAGCUCGUGUUGUGAAAUGUUGGGUUAAGUCCCGCAACGAGCGCAACCCUUAUCCUUUGUUGCCAGCGGUCCGGCCGGGAACUCAAAGAAGACUGCCAGUGAUAAACUGGAGGAAGGUGGGGAUGACGUCAAGUCAUCAUGCCCCUUACGACCAGGGCUACACACGUGCUACAAUGGCGCAUACAAAGAGAAGCGACCUCGCGAGAGCAAGCGGACCUCAUAAAGUGCGUCGUAGUCCGGAUUGGAGUCUGCAACUCGACUCCAUGAAGUCGGAAUCGCUAGUAAUCGUGGAUCAGAAUGCCACGGUGAAUACGUUCCCGGGCCUUGUACACACCGCCCGUCACACCAUGGGAGUGGGUUGCAAAAGAAGUAGGUAGCUUAACCUUCGGGAGGCG